Long non-coding RNA from Monomorium pharaonis (pharaoh ant), 791 nucleotides. RefSeq lists it as uncharacterized. The transcript has 3 exons. The record is from RefSeq and is a predicted model, not a curated record. Lineage: Eukaryota; Metazoa; Arthropoda; Insecta; Hymenoptera; Formicidae.
AUUGUUUUAUGGUGUGCAUUAAUGUAGUAAACUCUAAUAAACACUCGUGUAAAGGUUUCUUUUUAAUCCACUUAUUCAUUUAAAAAUUAUUUAUCUAAAAUAGUAAAAUAAGAUAAUUUUUGUUGCUUAAGCUAUUGUAAGUCAAAUUUUUCUUUUUUAUAUUUAUUCACUUAAUUGCAGAAAAUGCAAAUAUUUACACCCAAAAAUAAGCAAGCAACCAAGAAGACUACUAAUGAGGGGUUCACAUGCCUUUCGGAACGGAACGGGACGCUGGGUUCACUUUCUUUCCGGAACGGAACGGGGCACGGGACAGAUUAGCUCCCGAUCGAGUGGCAUCGCAAUUUGUCUAAUUGGGUGAUGAAAAAAAAAGGCGAAGUUUCCUCGUAUGGUAAGCCCUGUUCGGUUCCACGUGUCGCUCCUUCUCGGACGAGAAGAGAGAUACAGACAACGCUCCAACACACAUUACUUUAAUUUGACAAAUACACUUCCGCCCAUCGCGAAGGAUCAGCCGGAUGGCUUCCUUUCCUGAGAUUCGCGAAGACGACGGAGGAUAACAGCCAAAGUCAAGCUAUGGCACUUUCUGCCACGGGUCCAGGGACUUUCCUCAGAGCGAUAAGAGUCAUUUCAGACUCAGAAUGUGGCUCCGCGGUGUUUCCCGAGGGAACUUCGAGAGGCUCUUUCCGAUGCAUUAUAUAAAGAGAAAUAUGGCUCGACAAGCACUAACGAGAAACGUGAAAAAAUAAAGAAAAAUGUAAAUUUUUAUUAAUAAUUACUUAUAAUAUUGAAUUUUA